CCUCUUUAUCUUUUCAGAAAUAUGACCUUUUUUUUUUUUUUUUUUUUUUUUUUUUUUUUUUUUUUUUUUGUGGGGAGACUGUGGAUAACCAGAGAUGGGGGGCUGUCAGCUUUGGAAGCCCUUGCUUGAAAAGACAAGGAUUUGAAGUCUCACACUACAUUACUUCUCCCCAGGUGAUGAAAAAUGCCAUUGAAGUUGGACAGGCUGGUGUGGCUUCUUCACAAAGGUCACAGGAAGAGCAGAGACCUUUUUAAUGGAGCAUACUAAUGGGUUCCUGCUCUGAAAGGUGGUAACAUCGUGUCUGUAAAGAAAAAUCCUCCAGGGCACUCUGGGUGUGAAGCCUGCUUUUCUGACAUUUUUAAAUGGUUAAGGGUUGUUACUCCAUCACAUCAUGAGGGGCCUGAAGGAACAUAAUGUUCACCUAUUUAGGGAAGUGGCAAGCUGAAAUAGCUCUUGUGCAGCGCUUAAAGUAGCAAUCUGGUGUGAAUGCUUGAGCUUUUCUGCCACCAAGCGAGGCAGAGCGUGAAGUGAUGAGUGACUGGCCCAUCUUCUCUCUACAGUCGUCGUCUCCCAUGAGUAAUGUUGCUUUAAAAUUUCAUUUUCUUCGUGGUGUUUUCUACCUGUUUCUUCAAAUUGUUCCCUCAUUUCAAAGCUUGUCAUUUGUUUCACUGAAAGUAUUUGGUUAUACCCCGAAGGCGUUUGCUUACUGAUAGUGCAUUAGUCUAUUGUUGAUGGAAAUGAUAACUUAUAUCAAGGCUCUUCUUCUUGUUUAAAUCUUGACUUUAUCAAGAAUGAUGUUGCCAGAUGUGUUACUUGGAGUUCAGCGAGCGAGCAGGCCAUGGAGCCCUGAAGCCGCUGUUACCAGCCCAAGGAAAGCUCAUGAAUUUAUUCCAGUAUGAGCUCAUGUUCUUCUACAGUGUAUCACCCUCUAACCUUCAAAAGGAGCAGGCGCAGAAGAGGUUUGAUAUUUCUGUUUGUACAGGGGCCUCUGCCUUGUGGUUAAUUGUACUUGUGCCUGUGGGAAGCCAUUGCUCCUGUUAGUCAUGCUGCAUAAACCACCUUUUUCCCUUUGAUUCUUUGCUGAGUAAUGGCUUGUUAGGGAAGACUGAAAAACUUCACGUUCUCGCUCAGAGAUUGAAUCGACUGGAAUAAAUCUAUGGCCUUUUCACAGUCUUCUGUGGACAUUUUUAUGGAAUAUGUAUUUUAAAUACCUAGCCAUUAUAGAAGGUUUUACAGAAAUGAAAAUAAUAUUAGGCUUUGCUUCCUAUAUAGCAAUAAAACUUUUAAAUUAUCUCCAAAAAUUCUACCUGAAUAAACUGUUAAAACAUUAUUCGUAGCAGAAGACAAUGCCAGAUAAACCUGUUAAAGUACAUCAAUGACCUGAAACCUUUCCUCCUUUACAUACACUGUGCUUGGGGUGGUAGAAGUUGUAGGGCUGUUGCUAACUGAGGCAUAAGGAGCAUUUGGAAAGAGCAGAAGGCACUUGCAGAUGCCACCAAAGUUUAUAAUAUUUCUAUUCUGUUGGCAGUUUACUUGAUUGCAGCAUUUAUAAAUGUUUUCUGAUGAGAUAGAGGAAGGGAAAAAUCUUUUUUCUUUCCCCGUUUAAGAAAUCGGUCCAUAUGAUAGCUCUGCCUUUGAGCUCCCAGCUGACAGCAUGGAGCCCGUCAGCACCUUUUGUGGGAUGUGAGUGCCGUUUCAGUGGAUGGAAGGGCUUUCUGGGGAGCCUCCGGGCAAGAGGAUGCAACGUCAAGUCACAGCUGAUGGGCCUUCUGCUCCUCCACGAAUUGCUAUUCGGGGGAGGCUUGGAGGAGAUUUUGAAGAAGACAGCUGAGUACAAAUCAGUAUUUUUCUUGACAGCCCUGGUUCUCUUCUUCUCUUUCCAAUUUACAUCUGUCCUCCAGAGAUGACAAAUCACAGUGUAGGAACCAGAGAAGCUUUCCAUCUUCUGGAUUAGAGGGUGGGGUUGGGGAUGGGGUUUUUUGUAAUUCCACAGGCAAAAUGGGUUAAUUGAUACUUUCCCUUCUGUAAACACUUUGAGAUCCCUUAGAUUUUUAGAUUCUACCAUUGCUUUAAUAGUAGUAUAUCUGUGAUUUCCCCAUCACCAUUCUCAGGUUAAUUUUUAGUCAUUAAGAUUGAUUGUCUAAAUUAGGAAAUUACAAAGCUUCAUGCUAUUGAAAGCACUGCAUGAAAGUCUCUGUAAAACCUCAUUUGUUAGAGAACUGAUGGGGAGAAAGCUCUUUGUCAUCAAAAGUCAAAUUUAUUUUCUUCAUAUUUUCAGCCUUGCUCCAAACACAAUCUCUUGUGUGGAUGCUGUUCUGUAGUUAAAGCUUUAGCUGAAAAAUUUAUAGGAUCUUAUUUAUUACAUACAUGUUGAGGUAUUGUGAAGCCUCAAAGACAGGAGAAAGGCAGAAGUUUAUUUGCAUUCUGUCAGAAAAAAAUCACACACCCUUUUUAGCAAAUAAAUGCUUAUGUAACAUUUUAAUUUGACUUUUAUAAUGGUUUGUUUUGUUUGCAUAUCUAUUUCUUAAAUUUUGGUUCCUGAUUAACCGUGAAGUUUUUAAUUGUGAAAUUCUUACUAUUGUACAUUGUCUGUCUCUCAGAAAAACCUAGAAUUAGGAAACAAUUUGAAGUACUGUAGGUUGAGCAGUUAGCGCAACGCAGCCUUACUAUUAAGUUUCAAGGUUCAAUAUUGUCUUUGCCAUUUUUCCCUUUGUGUGCCUUUUUAAUUUUGGAGACUUCCUGAUGUGCAGUUUUUAAAUGAUGUAGAUAGUAGCACAGCCAUUGUAAUGAUCACACCAGAGGAGCGGUUGUACAAAUGCACGCUGGCAUUUCAUUAGUCCUGUUCUGCUGUGCGAGUUAUUUAAUAGCUGAGGUGGAAACUUGCACAGUUCCUUUAUCUAGCACUGGAAGAUCAGAUCUCAUUUUUAUAUUACUUUUCAUGUAUUUUUUCCAAAGCUGCUCUUUUGUAUUGCUCAGGAGGGACCAGUAAGAUUCUCUGUACUCGUGCAGUGUGUCAGACGGGCAAAUUGUGACCAGCUUUAUUUCUAACUCACUCUGACAUGGUUAGGAUGAACUGAUUAUGUAAGGUAGAAGUCAAUCCCCCCAAAAUAAACCUCUGAACUUUUGUGAACACUUGAACACCUUCAAAUAUGUACCUGGGGGAUAGUGAGGGCAGUGUGGCACGGGGGAAGGAGGUGUGUCAUGUUCUCUAGGUCAGUAACUGGAAGUGGUCAGACUGCGUCGAGUCACUAGAUAGGAUGCUUCAUUAUAAUAUCAUUUAUAAGAUGUGAAAUGGGAAAAUAAUUCAUUUUCUCUUUGUUUUUAGAGGCUCGAUCCUCUGAAGCAAAUUCCAGCUUUGGCAGGGAAUCUGUGUUGCAGAAAAAAUCUGUACAAGUUUUGGAGGAUUCACCAAAAAAAAAAAAAAAAAAAAGAAACUGAGCUGUAAAAAAGAGACCACUCUCUUCUGUUCUUUCACAAUAGAGCUGUGCAGCUUUCCUUUACCAGAACUGCUUAUGACAUGGCAACUUCUAUUCAAAGCAGAAGAUUAUAAAGUACAGAGAACAGCAAAUUCAAGCCUAUGUAUCAAAUUGAGAUCACAUUGUUUGUGUUUGUGCUGAGUGACUGAUUAUGCUUCUAAAAAUUUUGCUUUCUUUUAGCAUUGCAGCAUAAUUUCAGGAAUGUGAAAUAUAUAAAGCACCACAAACCACUCCCUGUAGGACAAGAGCAGCUAAAGAGGAGGAAACCCUGAAGAGCCUCGUGGACAUUCUGCAGUGAGGAACACGAAACGUGCCUGCGCAGGGCAUGCCAGCUCAGCUUUCAGCCACUACACCCCCUCUUAAUGAUAACGCUGGUGCUCUCUGCUUAGAAGUAUACAGGAAAUAUGCUAAAAAGCAAAAAAAAAAAAAAAACAACCCACCCUAGAAAAUGUCGCAAUACCAAGAAAACCCAUUAAAUCUACAGCGCUCCAAACUGACCCAGAUGUUUCUGUAGUUUUAUGUGUUUGAGUCCACUCAGCUGAGAGAAGCCCUGAAAGUCUUAACAUUGCAAACUGCUGCUACAAAACAGAAAAAUGAGACUCUCAAUCAGUGAAUCAACGGAUUUAGUGAAAUCUUCGAAAUUUUUUUUUAAAAAAGGAAUGUUAAAUAUCACAAUUAAGUUUGAAAACACAGAACCUCCCAGCAAAAUGAUGAAAAAGGUUGUCCGAGUCUGAGAAGGUGGAACAUCAAGCAUUAAACAAACUGCAUCUCAGUGAGCAUGCUGAAUCGGCUGGAAUCUAGACAGCAAAAGCUCAAGCACUAUAAAAGAAGUAGGGAAUUUGUAAGAACAACUGUACAAUUCUUCUAACGCUUCCUCUGUCUCUGUCUGUCUGCUCUAGGAGAGAGCUACAUAUAUUGAUAGUUAUGUUGAGAAAAAUAUUCCAGCUUUUAAGAAUGGUGAAGACACUCUAAAAAAAAAAUAGUUAAAUACUAAUAUCUGGAACAUUACCAUUGUCUUUCCUUGAGGUUUAAAAGAUUGAUUUUCAGUUUUGUCAGUCACUCAAAGCAGAUAUAACUGUAUUUAUCCCAGCAAUUAGAAGUUACAAUUUUAAAAUCUUUCUACUCGUCUCUGUUAUGUGACAAUGCUAAAUUGGACUGUAGUGAAAUAGUGAGUAAUGCUCAUUUGGCUUUUCCAAAUUUUCCUGUGUUUCAUAUGUGCAUGUAAGAGAUGACAACUCAAGUAACUCAUUUUUUUUUGUAAUGCACUCGAUGUUCUACACUAAUGGCACAACAAUAAAUUGGCUUCAACAGUU
Long non-coding RNA from Athene cunicularia (burrowing owl), 4789 nucleotides. RefSeq lists it as uncharacterized. The record is from RefSeq and is a predicted model, not a curated record. NCBI's taxonomy places the organism in Eukaryota, Metazoa, Chordata, Aves, Strigiformes, Strigidae. The transcript is spliced from 4 exons.